RNAcentral lists this ribosomal RNA (490 nucleotides) under uncultured bacterium. Its description in RNAcentral is "partial 16S ribosomal RNA". It matches the Rfam family "Bacterial small subunit ribosomal RNA", at positions 30 to 507 of the family's 1533-position model. The record is from RNAcentral.
AUUGAACACUGGCGGCAGGCCUAACACAUGCAAGUCGAACGGUAACAGGAAGAAGCUUGCUUCUUUGCUGACGAGUGGCGGACGGGUGAGUAAUGUCUGGGAAACUGCCUGAUGGAGGGGGAUAACUACUGGAAACGGUAGCUAAUACCGCAUAACGUCGCAAGACCAAAGAGGGGGACCUUCGGGCCUCUUGCCAUCUGAUGUGCCCAGAUGGGAUUAGCUAGUAGGUGGGGUAACGGCUCACCUAGGCGACGAUCCCUAGCUGGUCUGAGAGGAUGACCAGCAACACUGGAAAUGAGACAAGGUCCAGACUCCUACGGGAGGCAGCAGUGGGGAAUAUUGCACAAUGGGCGCAAGACUGAUGCAGCCAGGCCGCGUGUAUGAAGAAGGCCUUCGGGUUGUAAAGUACUUGCAGCGGGGAGGAAGGGAGUAAAGUUAAUACCUUUGCUCAUUGACGUUACCCGCAGAAGAAGCACCGGCUAACUCCGUG